This 306-nucleotide ribosomal RNA is filed under the name uncultured bacterium. RNAcentral describes it as "partial 16S ribosomal RNA". It matches the Rfam family "Bacterial small subunit ribosomal RNA", at positions 507 to 807 of the family's 1533-position model. The record is from RNAcentral.
GACAGCAGCAGCCGCGGGAAUACGUAGGGUGCAAGCGUUAAUCGGAAUUACUGGGCGUAAAGCGUGCGCAGGCGGUUUGUUAAGACGGAUGUGAAAUCCCCGGGCUCAACCUGGGAACUGCAUUCGUGACUGUAUAGCUAGAGUACGGUAGAGGGGGAUGGAAUUCCGCGUGUAGCAGUGAAAUGCGUAGAUAUGCGGAGGAACACCGAUGGCGAAGGCAAUCCCCUGGACCUGUACUGACGCUCAUGCACGAAAGCGUGGGGAGCAAACAGGAUUAGAUACCCCAGUAGUACCUGUCUCUUAUAC